Molecule: unclassified non-coding RNA, 244 nt
Filed under: uncultured Agaricomycetes
Lineage: Eukaryota; Fungi; Basidiomycota; Agaricomycetes
Description: sequence contains ITS1
Source: RNAcentral
AUGAAUUAAGAGGGACUCGAUGCUGGCUCUUAACCGGGGCAUGUGCUCGUCCUUCCUUCUUCACAAUCAACUGAGUGCACCUUUUGUAUGCCUUCUAUGUAACGAGCACGUUUCGCAGCAAUGCGAGUUAGCUGGGAUUGGACUCGUCCUCUCCUGCAAUGCUCUCUUGGAGGCAUAUGUUUUCACACACUAUGUAUGUUAUAGAAUGUCUUAUUUGAGGGCUUUGCGGCCUUUAAAACAAUUA